Molecule: unclassified non-coding RNA, 559 nt
Filed under: Hevea brasiliensis (rubber tree)
Lineage: Eukaryota; Viridiplantae; Streptophyta; Magnoliopsida; Malpighiales; Euphorbiaceae
Source: RNAcentral
AAAAAAAAAAAAAAAAAAAACUAGCUAUCUAAAGGGCCUUCAUGUUUUGAUUCUGGAGUCUUGAUUAUUAGAAAGGAAAAAAGAAAGAAAUUAAACAUGUUCUAGCACAUAACAACAUUUAAUACAUAUCACUUUAAUUGUUUGGUUAUAACUUUUAUCCAGCACAUUUCUUAUGAUGAUACUAUAGAUCAUUUGUAGCCACGCUCUUUCCUCCUAAGGUGCAGAACAAAAGCAUGGUGGUAAGUAAUUUUUAUUUUCUGCUGUGAAAGUUACUUCAAGAAGAAUCAGUUGUUUAGCCAAAAAAAUUAUGAUAGUAGCAAUGAAAAUUGUCCAAAUCCUGCAAAUUUUAUAUAUAUAUAUGGCUAAAACAACAAAAGGAGAUGUAUUGCACCGCAGGCACAUACCUGAGAAGCAUUUUUAAUAUGAUAAAACCGAUGAGCAUAUUUCCCAGGAAAACCAGACUCCAUGGAAUGUAAAUCAGCUCCACCUUUUGCUCUGUCACACACAACCACCAUGAAUGAUGAUAAUUAUUGUCAAAUAAUAAUAAUGAUAAUAAUAA